UUUUAUUGUACAUAAAGUGUGUUUGGGAUCAUUGUCAUGCUGAAGAAUUAGGCCAUUAUCAAUCUGCUGCUUGCCCGAUGGUAUUGAAUGCUAGUUCAAAUUCUGACCAUACUUAUCUGCAUCCGUAAUUUGAUCAAGUUUUGACAAUAUCCCCAACAUCACUGGGUGAAACACAGCCUCAAACCAUGAAAAGGUCUCCACUUACAGAUGGCUGUUGAAACUCAACCUCUCCUGGCAACUCAUUGAGCCAAAUUUGGAUUUAUCACUGCAUAAGACCUGUUAGCACUGAUUUUCACUCAAGUUCUUGUGUAAUUUGGCACAGGUAAGCAUUUUCUCCCUGUUCCCAUUCCUUAACAAGAGCCUCUUGACAGCCAUCUUUCCACUGAGACCAUUUCAGCACUGUAAGAUCUAAUGAGAUGACAGUAUUUAAAAAAAUUAUGCAAACUUGUUGCCUUAGAGAAACUAAUUACAGUUUAUUUAAGAUAUACGCAGUACUUUGAAUAAUCAGAUUUUUCUGAGAAUGAAUUAAUGAAAAAGUCAACUGAUGAAUAUGUCAGUUGAAAUAAAUAAUUCGUUUUUAGCACUUUAUAUAGUUUGUUUUUGCUCUACAGGCCAAUUAAAAGCUCAGUUGCACAUGCACACUGAACAUGCAUUUGAAAGUGCCUCCAUUUUUAUUUUUGUAUAAGAAUACACUAAUAUGAACAGUAAAUUUGGGUAAUCAGUUUUUAAAUGCUCAGGGCUGAAUUUAGAUCCUCCAACAGAUAUUUUCACAAAGCUGCAUUACAUUUUUUGGUUCCUCUGAAGAGGAAAACAAACUGUUUUCAUUCAUCUCCUGGCAGUAGCAUGUACCUUAAUGCUACACUGUGUUAUUUGCUAACGCUGUAAGAGACAUUCUGUACAGAGCAUACAGGAGUUUUACCAAAACCUUUGAAAUCUGAAAUAAAAGAGUGGGAGUACAAGUUUUUAUUGACCAGAAAACCAUAAUGAGCUGAAGAAUGCCAAACUGCUACGUAAAGAAGAGGGGAAGUAGUGAGUGGUAUUUCUCUCUGUGUCUGUCCCUCCAGGUUACACAUUUUAAAUAACACGAGUUAAUACAUUAAGGAAAGGUUGCUUUUGUGACAUUUGUUUUGGACAGUAGUCUACAAUGCUCUUCUGCAAAUAUUACUGCUUGAUGAGUGUAUGUUUGCUGUGUUACUAAGUUUGGACAGGUUUGAUAUACUUCUAAAUUAUUCAGAUUGUGGUCAGCAGACCUUUUGUCUAUUGAGCAGCUGUUUUGUUUUGACAACACCACUGCCACAAGCAGUGUUUUAUGUGCUGUAUGCUGGAUAAAAAUAAAUAAAUUAUUUUUACCUGCAGGGGUGCUCUCUUACCUGCAGACAACCACCAUAGCCGCAAUGGUGUGUGUGUGUGUGUGUGUGUGUGUGUGUGCGUGCGUGUGUGUGUGUGCGUGUGUGUGUGUGUGUGUGUGUGUGUGUGUGUGUGUGUGAGAGAGAGAUUACCAUACCCCCGAUGGUAAUUGGUUGCAGUAAGUCACAACGAGCAAGGACAGAUGGACUGAACCAAUAAUUUACAAAAACUAACGUCAUUACUUUGAUCUGUUUGUCAGAAUCACCAUCUAGUGCAGGUGCACAGUUGUAAAAACCCAACAGGAAUUUAAAAAAAAGAAACUAAUUUCCUGUUUGUAGGCCUGGCCUUCAAAAUAAUAGCAUGGGUUGUCUAACAGUCAUCGUAGCCGUUCUAG
Astatotilapia calliptera (eastern happy) is the source of this 1741-nucleotide long non-coding RNA. The record is from Ensembl. NCBI's taxonomy places the organism in Eukaryota, Metazoa, Chordata, Actinopteri, Cichliformes, Cichlidae.